This is a non-coding RNA of Brassica rapa (field mustard), 125 nucleotides long. Lineage: Eukaryota; Viridiplantae; Streptophyta; Magnoliopsida; Brassicales; Brassicaceae. The record is from Rfam.
GAGAAUAUGAGAGACGUCUCUUAGUUUUUAACUAAAAAAAUUAAGAGAUGUCUCCUAAAUAAGAGAUAUAAAAGACGUCUCUUAACUUUUUUACUUAAAAGCUAAGAAACGUCUCUUAUAUUCGC